AUACGAAAGGUGCAAGCGUUGUUCGGAAUGACUGGGCGUAAAGCGCGCGUAGGCGGGAUAAUAGGUCGAUUGUGAAAUCCCCGGGCUCAACCUGGGAACUGCAGUCGAAACCAUUAUUCUUGAAUAUCUGAGAGGGUGGGGGAAUACCUAGUGGAGCAGUGAAAUGCGUAGAGAUUAGGUGGAACACCGGAGGCGAAGGCGCCUGCCUGGCAGAAUAUUGACGCUGAGGCGCGAAAGCGUGGGUAGCAAACAGGAUUAGAUACCCUGGUAGUCCACGCCGUAAACGAUGGAUACUAGUUGUUUGGGGAGUUAACCCCCUGAGUGACGCAGCUAACGCAUUAAGUAUCCCGCCUGGGGAGUACGGUCGCAAGGCUAAA
Molecule: ribosomal RNA, 377 nt
Filed under: uncultured Oligoflexia bacterium
Lineage: Bacteria; Pseudomonadati; Bdellovibrionota; Oligoflexia
Description: bacterial SSU rRNA
Rfam family: Bacterial small subunit ribosomal RNA
Source: RNAcentral